UACGAAGGGGGCUAGCGUUGCUCGGAAUCACUGGGCGUAAAGCGCACGUAGGCGGCUUCUUAAGUCAGGGGUGAAAUCCUGGAGCUCAACUCCAGAACUGCCCUUGAUACUGAGGAGCUUGAGUCCGGGAGAGGUGAGUGGAACUGCGAGUGUAGAGGUGAAAUUCGUAGAUAUUAGGGAGAACACCGGUGGCGAAGGCGGCCCACUGGUCCGGUACUGACGCUGAGGUGCGAAAGCGUGGGGAGCAAACAGG
This 253-nucleotide ribosomal RNA is filed under the name uncultured bacterium. RNAcentral's name for it is "partial 16S ribosomal RNA". It matches the Rfam family "Bacterial small subunit ribosomal RNA", at positions 524 to 776 of the family's 1533-position model. The record is from RNAcentral.